This is a long non-coding RNA of Anguilla anguilla (European eel), 449 nucleotides long. RefSeq lists it as uncharacterized. NCBI's taxonomy places the organism in Eukaryota, Metazoa, Chordata, Actinopteri, Anguilliformes, Anguillidae. The transcript is spliced from 3 exons. The record is from RefSeq and is a predicted model, not a curated record.
CAGGCAGUUUAACCCCCAGUAACCCUGCAGGCACAAGCACAACUGUAAAACAGACCACGACAACCAAACACACGCCGAACUCCACCCUCAUCCCAGGUAACCCCACCACGCCUGCCCCCCCUGCAUCACCAACUUCCCCUUCCUUUCCUUCAACGCACCCCCCCCUGGUCUGUAUCCAUGGACAGAACGUGAAUGGAGUGUGCCUCUGUCCGGACGAAUGGACUGGGAAGUUCUGCCAAAUACCAAAUUUCUGCAAUGGAACCAUUGUCGGUGUUUUCACUUUCAACAAGACUGUCAUUGGACGGUUUAGCUACUCGCGUGAGCACUGUCCGGGACCAGCCAAUGUGAGUUUUCCCCUGGCGUCAGUGCAAUGUUUGAACAAGAGCGGCUCACCGGGUUUUGGUCCGGUACGGAAGCUGGACUGUGACCUGACCCUGAAUGAUCUCCAA